RNAcentral lists this ribosomal RNA (407 nucleotides) under uncultured bacterium. RNAcentral describes it as "bacterial SSU rRNA". It matches the Rfam family "Bacterial small subunit ribosomal RNA", at positions 355 to 776 of the family's 1533-position model. The record is from RNAcentral.
UAGGGAAUAUUGCACAAUGGAGGAAACUCUGAUGCAGCGACGCCGCGUGAGCGAUGAAGGCCUUCGGGUUGUAAAGCUCUGUCGCAUGGGAAUAAGACAGUGAAUGUACCAUGCAAGAAAGGAUCGGCUAACUUCGUGCCAGCAGCCGCGGUAAGACGAGGGAUCCUAGCGUUGUUCGGAAUCAUUGGGCGUAAAGCGGGUGCAUGUGGCUUUGUAAGUCAGGUGUGAAAUCCCAGGGCUCAACCCUGGAAGUGCAUUUGAUACUGCGAAGCUUGAGUGCUGGAGAGGUAAGUAGAAUUCCUGGUGUAGUGGUGAAAUACGUAGAUAUCAGGAGGAAUACCGGAGGCGAAGGCGGCUUACUGGCCAGACACUGACACUCAGACCCGAAAGCGUGGGGAUCAAACAGG